UGUUAAUUUUGCCCAAUGUUUUUUUAAACUCCCGCCCCCUCUUCCUUUACUUUCCUCACGGUGAGAGAGAUCGAGACCGAAAUGCAGUCCACCAAGGCUACUAAUCUUCACUUCAGAGGAGCAAGGAUUUGGCUUGCUGUCAUUGAGGAUCUAUUAUCAAAAGGAAUGAGAAAUGCUGAAAAUGCUGUUCUCUCUGGUUGUUCGGCUGCAUGGUGGAUUGACUUCUAUUUUGCAUUGCGAAAGCUUCCGAGCUCUCGUUCCUAUUGGUACUAAGGAGGGAUGUUUCUGGAGCACAACACAUUGAAGCAUUCUAUAGUGAAGUGGUUGCAACACAUGCAUUGAUGCUCUCUGUUUCUCUCUCCCUCUCUAUAACUUCUAUGCUGCAAUUUUAUGAUUUUAGCUUUGUAUACUGCUUUGGAUAGGCAAUUUAUCUUUCAGUUCUUUCUACCAUUUCCUACCGUAUAAAAAAAAAAAAAAAAAAUCUUGUUACAGUUGCUCACUUAUUCAAGUGUUUCUCUUGUUUACAUGUCUAGCAAGAAAAUGUUACCUAUUCUUUCCUUGUGUCUCUCUUUCAACAAAAGGCCAGGAGAGCUCCAUUUUGAUUCUACCUGGUUACAAGAUCAUUGCAUUUUCUGUAGUCAUUAAUGUC
Alnus glutinosa is the source of this 649-nucleotide RNA transcript. It is a transcript of the gene named pectin acetylesterase 8-like, with no coding region annotated. NCBI's taxonomy places the organism in Eukaryota, Viridiplantae, Streptophyta, Magnoliopsida, Fagales, Betulaceae. The record is from RefSeq and is a predicted model, not a curated record. The transcript is spliced from 4 exons.